UCGAGGGGCAGCAUGAAGUUUGCUUGCAAACUUUGAUGGCGACCGGCGCACGGGUGAGUAACACGUAUCCAACCUGCCUUUCACUCGGGAAUAGCCUUUCGAAAGAAAGAUUAAUGUCCGAUGGCACGGAAGUUUCGCAUGAGACUUCCUUUAAAGAAUUUCGGUGGAAGAUGGGGAUGCGUUCCAUUAGGCAGUUGGCGGGGUAACGGCCCACCAAACCGACGAUGGAUAGGGGUUCUGAGAGGAAGGUCCCCCACAUUGGAACUGAGACACGGUCCAAACUCUUACGGGAGGCAGCAGUGAGGAAUAUUGGUCAAUGGACGAGAGUCUGAACCAGCCAAGUAGCGUGAAGGAUGACUGCCCUAUGGGUUGUAAACUUCUUUUAUACGGGAAUAAAGUGAAGCACGUGUGCUUUUUUGUAUGUACCGUAUGAAUAAGGAUCGGCUAACUCCGUGCCAGCAGCCGCGGUAAUACGGAGGAUCCGAGCGUUAUCCGGAUUUAUUGGGUUUAAAGGGAGCGUAGGCGGAAGUUUAAGUCAGUUGUGAAAGUUUGCGGCUCAACCGUAAAAUUGCAGUUGAUACUGGAUUUCUUAGUGCACACAGGGAUGCUGGAAUUCAUGGUGUAGCGGUGAAAUGCUCAGAUAUCAUGAAGAACUCCGAUCGCGAAGGCAGGUAUCCGGGGUGCAACUGACGCUGAGGCUCGAAAGUGCGGGUAUCAAACAGGAUUAGAUACCCUGGUAGUCCGCACAGUAAACGAUGAAUACUCGCGGUUGGCGAUACACUGUCAGCCGCCAAGCGAAAGCGUUAAGUAUUCCACCUGGGGAGUACGCCGGCAACGGUGAAACUCAAAGGAAUUGACGGGGGCCCGCACAAGCGGAGGAACAUGUGGUUUAAUUCGAUGAUACGCGAGGAACCUUACCCGGGCUUGAACUGAGGGGGAAUGAAUCAGAGAUGAUUCAGUCUUCGGACUCCCUUGGAGGUGCUGCAUGGUUGUCGUCAGCUCGUGCCGUGAGGUGUCGGCUUAAGUGCCAUAACGAGCGCAACCCUCAUCCUCGUUUGCCAUCAGGUAAUGCUGGGCACUCCGGGGAUACUGCCAUCGUAAGAUGUGAGGAAGGUGGGGAUGACGUCAAAUCAGCACGGCCCUUACGUCCGGGGCUACACACGUGUUACAAUGGGCGGUACAGAGGGCAGCUACCACGCGAGUGGACGCUAAUCCUCAAAGCCGUUCUCAGUUCGGACUGGAGUCUGCAACCCGACUCCACGAAGCUGGAUUCGCUAGUAAUCGCGCAUCAGCCAUGGCGCGGUGAAUACGUUCCCGGGCCUUGUACACACCGCCCGUCAAGCCAGAAAGCCGGGAGCACC
RNAcentral lists this ribosomal RNA (1361 nucleotides) under uncultured bacterium. RNAcentral describes it as "16S ribosomal RNA". It matches the Rfam family "Bacterial small subunit ribosomal RNA", at positions 62 to 1421 of the family's 1533-position model. The record is from RNAcentral.